GCCUCAGUAGCUCAGUGGUAGAGCGCCAGUUUUGUAAACUGGAAGUCGAGGGUUCAAUCCCCUCCUGAGGCU
Molecule: transfer RNA, 72 nt
Filed under: Microcaldota archaeon
Lineage: Archaea; Nanobdellati; Microcaldota
Description: tRNA-Thr
Rfam family: tRNA
About the family: Transfer RNA (tRNA) molecules are approximately 80 nucleotides in length.
Source: RNAcentral